RNAcentral lists this long non-coding RNA (795 nucleotides) under Mus caroli (Ryukyu mouse). RNAcentral describes it as "predicted gene 12055 (MGP_CAROLIEiJ_G0004699.1)". Lineage: Eukaryota; Metazoa; Chordata; Mammalia; Rodentia; Muridae. The record is from RNAcentral.
AGUAGGAGAAAGUGAGAGGCAAGAGAGACAGGAGAAAGAGUUUUGAAUGGAUUUGGAUGGACUUGUGCAGAGCUGGAGCCUCUAAGGACAGAGCUGAUGGGUAGCCAAACACUGGGUUUCUGGGCCUAUGGAGAGCUUUAAGGCCAGCCAAGCAUUCAGCAUAGCCGUAUAUGGAGCGGGCAACUGUGAGGUGCAGGUGAUUUUCACUGCACUUACCUGGUACAGAGGACGAAGGUCCUCAGGAUGGGAGCCUCCUAGUUAUCCCCGGAAGGGGCAGCAAGGUGACCUACAGGGGACUGGACUACUGACAAUGAAGACUGGAAUUGCCCCAAAUAAGUACUUCUAUACGGGUCCACAACCCCCUUGUCUUAUUAGCCAUCUUCCUCCCCUACCUUGGGAGGUUACAGUCUUGCAGAACCCUUAUUAAAGUGGGUUUUUUUAAAAAAUCUAAGCCUACACUCUCCCUUAUGAGAGAACAAUCUGGGGAUGGAUGUUCUACUCUAGGAUACAUCCUGCAGACUACUGCCAUGCAGUUCUGGCUGAAAUUACAAGUGGCAACUCCAUAGGUGUAGAUGAGGUGUGAAGCCAUAGCUUACCUACCCCAUGAAGGGUGGCAAGUCUCAAAACAGUUGGCUACCUGGAGUCAGGACAAAAUUACAGAAACCAUCGAGGAGCUAGAAAGGUAGGGAUCUUUCUGCCUAGCCCAGAGCCCCCUCAAUAGUCCUAUGUGGCCAAUAAAGAAGCUAGAUGGUUCUUAGAGAAUGACUUUGAAGUAAAGAAGGAAGUGUGCCUCCC